RNAcentral lists this long non-coding RNA (220 nucleotides) under Brassica rapa (field mustard). RNAcentral's name for it is "long non-coding RNA (BRAP_LNC004878)". The record is from RNAcentral. Lineage: Eukaryota; Viridiplantae; Streptophyta; Magnoliopsida; Brassicales; Brassicaceae.
CCCCACAGAAGUGGUCCAGACUAGUCAUGUGUUGCCACGUGUCGGUUUCAUGUCUCUAGCGAUACCGAAAUGUUAAUUCUCCAGUGGCCGGUACUUGAACCCUGGUGGCUUCACCGUAUUGGGCAUUUUCCCUCAAGUUAAUCACGAACAGGCCACAAGCCUUGGUUGAAGUCUCAUUCACUAGACAUUCAUAUUAUAUAAUAAAUAUAGUUUAAAAUUA